AUUGAACGCUGGCGGCAUGCCUUACACAUGCAAGUCGAACGGUAACGGGCCUUCGGGUGCCGACGAGUGGCGAACGGGUGAGUAAUGCAUCGGAACGUACCUUUCAGUGGGGGAUAACGUAGCGAAAGUUACGCUAAUACCGCAUAUUCUGUGAGCAGGAAAGCAGGGGAUCGCAAGACCUUGUGCUGAUUGAGCGGCCGAUGUCAGAUUAGCUAGUUGGUGAGGUAAAGGCUCACCAAGGCGACGAUCUGUAGCGGGUCUGAGAGGAUGAUCCGCCACACUGGAACUGAGACACGGUCCAGACUCCUACGGGAGGCAGCAGUGGGGAAUUUUGGACAAUGGGGGGCAACCCGUGAGUCCAGCCAUGCCGCGUGA
This 375-nucleotide ribosomal RNA is filed under the name uncultured bacterium. RNAcentral's name for it is "bacterial SSU rRNA". It matches the Rfam family "Bacterial small subunit ribosomal RNA", at positions 30 to 404 of the family's 1533-position model. The record is from RNAcentral.